CAAAAGGGUGAAUACAUUGUUCGAUAAAGUUCUUGGUGAAAAUGAAAAAUGUGUCUUUUAUUUUUACUUAAAAACCGAAGGCACUUUUUGGCCAACCCAAUAGUACUUGACCAGUUAGUGACAAGACCCGGGUUUGGAUUACCCUUCGGAUUUAAUAGGCGCGAUGGAUAUUAGAGCAUUUUAGAAGUACCCCAGUUGCUGCUAUUUAAUUGGAAAAGGAAACACCAUUGUGUUUGAGGGUAACCAUAAUAAGAGCAUGUUUUUUAAUAUUAAUUUUUUUAAGGAUACGUGUUUUGAUUUAUAUUGUUAGAUUUGCUUACAAAGGAUAUGUGGCCAAUUUACAGUAAGGAAGAUGUCUCUGUAAUUGUUUUUGCCUUAUCUCUUUUCCUUUCAAUAUUUUUGGCAGGACUCAGUAACCUAGCAGCCUCCUACUUGAGUCCAGUAAGAUCUUUCAUGCCGCAGAUGCCGAAGUUGCUGAAGUCUCUCUUCCCCGUCCGCGACGAGAAAAGGGGCAAACAGCCAUCUCCCCUCACACAUCAGUGUCCUGCGCUCUGCUUAUGGCUGCCUUGUCGACUUCAGGGAUCUUUGUCUCCGGUUUCAACACAGCUUCCAGCAUGGAAGAUGGACAGGGCCUUGAGUAGAGACAGCAGCGCCCUGCGCAUCUCUGGCCUAGUUGAAAAGAUGCUUGGCUAGUUCUUCCAGCUUUCAUGUCAGCGAUUCCUCCAUGUAUGAAAUGGAGAGGAACAAACACAGCUACUGGUUCUUCCCUUGCGCAUGAAGAUGCUGUUUUAAGGCUCUUCAUACUUGGGCUCCUCUGAUGAAACAAGCCAUAUAAAUGCCUAUCCUGGUGUCUUAAGGGUUCAUCAUCUUAACUAACUAAAAUAAGAAAAGGGAGCACGGGUUUGAUCCUUGGUCGAGGAACUAAGAUCCCGCAUGCCACGCAGCGUGGUCAAAAAGACCCAAGAAUUCAAGGCAAGUGAUUUCUGUUCGGUUGCUUUGGGGAUGUAUUCUUAGGCAUUCUUCUUCUUCUUUUUUUUUUUAAAUUUAUUUAUUUUAUUUAUUUUAUUUUUGGCUGUGCGCGGGCUUUCUCUAGUUGCGGUGAGUAGGGGCUGCUCUUUGUUGCGGUGCUCGAGCUUCUCACUGCAGUGGCUUCUCUUGUUGCGGA
Molecule: long non-coding RNA, 1165 nt
Organism: Physeter macrocephalus (sperm whale)
Lineage: Eukaryota; Metazoa; Chordata; Mammalia; Artiodactyla; Physeteridae
Exons: 3
Source: RefSeq, a predicted model, not a curated record